GAUGAACGCUGGCGGCGUGCCUAAUACAUGCAAGUCGAGCGAACAGACGAGGAGCUUGCUCCUCUGACGUUAGCGGCGGACGGGUGAGUAACACGUGGAUAACCUACCUAUAAGACUGGGAUAACUUCGGGAAACCGGAGCUAAUACCGGAUAAUAUAUUGAACCGCAUGGUUCAAUAGUGAAAGACGGUUUUGCUGUCACUUAUAGAUGGAUCCGCGCCGCAUUAGCUAGUUGGUAAGGUAACGGCUUACCAAGGCAACGAUGCGUAGCCGACCUGAGAGGGUGAUCGGCCACACUGGAACUGAGACACGGUCCAGACUCCUACGGGAGGCAGCAGUAGGGAAUCUUCCGCAAUGGGCGAAAGCCUGACGGAGCAACGCCGCGUGAGUGAUGAAGGUCUUCGGAUCGUAAAACUCUGUUAUUAGGGAAGAACAAAUGUGUAAAUAACUAUGCACGUCUUGACGGUACCUAAUCAGAAAGCCACGGCUAGCUACGUG
RNAcentral lists this ribosomal RNA (497 nucleotides) under uncultured bacterium. Its description in RNAcentral is "partial 16S ribosomal RNA". It matches the Rfam family "Bacterial small subunit ribosomal RNA", at positions 28 to 507 of the family's 1533-position model. The record is from RNAcentral.